AUUGAACGCUGGCGGCAGGCUUAACACAUGCAAGUCGCGCGGGGUGAUGGUGCUUGCACUAUCACUUAGCGGCGGACGGGUGAGUAAUGCUUAGGAAUCUGCCUAUUAGUGGGGGACAACAUCUCGAAAGGGAUGCUAAUACCGCAUACGUCCUACGGGAGAAAGCAGGGGAUCACUUGUGACCUUGCGCUAAUAGAUGAGCCUAAGGCGGCUUAGCUAGUUGGUGGGGUAAAGGCCUACCAAGGCGACGAUCUGUAGCGGGUCUGAGAGGAUGAUCCGCCACACUGGGACUGAGACACGGCCCAGACUCCUGCGGGAGGCAGCAGUGUGGAAUAUUGGACAAUGGGGGGAACCCUGAUCCAGCCAUGCCGCGUGUGUGAAGAAGGCCUUAUGGUUGUAAAGCACUUUAAGCGAGGAGGAGGCUCUUUUGGUUAAUACCCAAGAUGAGUGGACGUUACUCGCAGAAUAAGCACCGGCUAACUCUGUGCCAGCCGCCGCAGUAA
This 503-nucleotide ribosomal RNA is filed under the name uncultured bacterium. Its description in RNAcentral is "partial 16S ribosomal RNA". It matches the Rfam family "Bacterial small subunit ribosomal RNA", at positions 30 to 523 of the family's 1533-position model. The record is from RNAcentral.